RNAcentral lists this ribosomal RNA (253 nucleotides) under uncultured bacterium. RNAcentral describes it as "partial 16S ribosomal RNA". It matches the Rfam family "Bacterial small subunit ribosomal RNA", at positions 524 to 776 of the family's 1533-position model. The record is from RNAcentral.
UACGGAGGGGGCUAGCGUUGUUCGGAAUUACUGGGCGUAAAGCGUGCGCAGGCGGUUCGUUGUGUCGGCGGUGAAAGCCCCGGGCUUAACCUGGGAAUGGCCGUUGAAACUGGCGAACUGGAGUGUGGCAGAGGGGGGUGGAAUUCCGCGUGUAGCAGUGAAAUGCGUAGAGAUGCGGAGGAACACCGAUGGCGAAGGCAGCCCCCUGGGCUGACACUGACGCUCAGGCACGAAAGCGUGGGGAGCAAACAGG